Molecule: ribosomal RNA, 468 nt
Filed under: uncultured bacterium
Lineage: Bacteria
Description: partial 16S ribosomal RNA
Rfam family: Bacterial small subunit ribosomal RNA
Source: RNAcentral
GACGAACGCUGGCGGCGUGCUUAACACAUGCCAGUCGAACGAAAAGGCCCUGCGCUUGUUGGUUUCUCGAUUGGCGAACGGGUGAGUAACACAUGAGUAACCUCCCCUUGACUGUGUGAUAACUUCAGGAAACUGGGGCGAAUACCGGGUAUGAGCUCUUGCUGCAUGGGGGUGGUUGGAAAGAUUCGGCGGUGGGGGCUGGACUCGCAGCUUAUCAGCUGGUUGGUGAGGUAGUUGCUUCCCAGGGCUUUGACGGGUAGGCGGCCUGGGAGGGUUGACGGCCACCUGGGGCCUACGAGAGGGACCAGACUCCAACGGGACGCAGCAGUGGGGAAUCUUGCACAACAGGCGGAAGCGUGAGGUAGAAACGCCGCGUGCGGGAUAACGGCCUUCGGGUUGUAAACAGAUUUCGAAGGUGACGAAGAGGGCGUGACGGUAAUGGGUCAAGAAGCCCCGGCUAACUACGUG